This 253-nucleotide ribosomal RNA is filed under the name uncultured bacterium. RNAcentral's name for it is "partial 16S ribosomal RNA". It matches the Rfam family "Bacterial small subunit ribosomal RNA", at positions 524 to 776 of the family's 1533-position model. The record is from RNAcentral.
UACGUAGGGUGCAAGCGUUGUCCGGAAUUAUUGGGCGUAAAGAGCUCGUAGGCGGUUUGUCGCGUCUGCUGUGAAAACCCGAGGCUCAACCUCGGGCCUGCAGUGGGUACGGGCAGACUAGAGUGCGGUAGGGGAGAUUGGAAUUCCUGGUGUAGCGGUGGAAUGCGCAGAUAUCAGGAGGAACACCAAUGGCGAAGGCAGAUCUCUGGGCCGUAACUGGCGCUGAGGAGCGAAAGCAUGGGGAGCGAACAGG